GUCAGGACGGCCUGACUUCAGUUUCUAGUUGAUGGACUCAUCUGCCUGUUAGACUGGAAAGCUGUCCCCUGAAGUCCUGUGUGGAAUAAAUGGAGUUUCCAGAGCUGCUCUUUGUAAAACAGAGCAAGCAUCUUUGGCCAAAAGAAAAGAAUUUCCGAAAAUGUACACCAGUCAGUAAGAAAGAGGAGGUGGAUUGAGCUAAUCAGCUAAUUCUGCGGCUGAACCCGAGCUGGAAGCGCCAGGAACAGGUAGGAGUCCUACUCUCUUGUUGUACCCCAGUGGGAUGUACGCUUUCCUCUGAGCAUCUCCUAGAGCAGCAGAUGGUGCUGGGGACGUGUGGCCCAACCAUGAGAGCUUCCUGUGCCCUCCUCUCCCGUCUCCAGCUUUACUGACGGUCUGCCAGCACCUUACUUGCCAGCAACAGCCCUGCAGCACAGCAUCGGGCUCAUGAACGGUGUCAGAGGUAGUGUUGUUGCCUGUGUGAGCUCUGCUUCCGUUUAUUCCUGUUUCUUGUCCUCACAGAUCC
Long non-coding RNA from Cuculus canorus (common cuckoo), 526 nucleotides. RefSeq lists it as uncharacterized. NCBI's taxonomy places the organism in Eukaryota, Metazoa, Chordata, Aves, Cuculiformes, Cuculidae. The transcript is spliced from 3 exons. The record is from RefSeq and is a predicted model, not a curated record.